Molecule: long non-coding RNA, 704 nt
Filed under: Phoenix dactylifera (date palm)
Lineage: Eukaryota; Viridiplantae; Streptophyta; Magnoliopsida; Arecales; Arecaceae
Description: long non-coding RNA (PDAC_LNC012491)
Source: RNAcentral
AUGUGGGGGGCGCGGAGAGGAAGAGCAAUAUCCAUAUAUUGAACAUGAAAAAAUGAUUUCUUUCUUCUCAAACUUUCUGCGACACAUUUCAUGGACUCAGCAAGCUAAAGAAACCAAAGAUUGCACCAAAUUUAUUUAAACUUUUUGCUUCGAUUAUUUUUCCCAGUGAAUUGAUCAGUUAAGAUCUGCCUUCACAUCUUUUUAGAAGCACAAGGGAUAGGAGUUAUCAAGUAUACCACGAUCCUUGUUCUUCCACAAAUUACAAAGGGGAAGAGGAAACAACCAGAAAAACCAACAAGGAAGAUUUGAGAAUGGCAAUAGCUGGGUUAGCUCACCUGAGAAAUUUUUUCUUUAAAGCUGGCCAUCGAGAGAACCUACUCACAGGAAUGUAACGCUUCAGUGAGGCAUUUUGACGAACAGAUGAAGAGCAGACAAGAGCAGAACAUAACUUCAUCUGAAACGAGCAGUACCCGCCACUAGAUGAACCGGCACGAAUCAGCUGAGGUCCACGGCCUCCACUUCUCUCCCGCCGGCGGUGAUUUCGAGGCGGAGGUGGAAGCGACGAGAGGAGAGGGGAACGAAUGGAGGUUAGCCGGUUUAGACGACGCGAGUUAAUGGACAGGAAGGCGGCGGGGGUUGGGUCCGUGCGGAUACGGGAGCCGCGGAGAGGAAAAGCAACAUUCACAUAUUGAACAUGAAAAAAA